Molecule: microRNA precursor, 63 nt
Filed under: Chlorocebus sabaeus (green monkey)
Lineage: Eukaryota; Metazoa; Chordata; Mammalia; Primates; Cercopithecidae
Description: miRNA (ENSCSAG00000022936.1)
Source: RNAcentral
GUGAGUUGAAAAUAUCAUGAGUCAAAAAUGCACUUUCGACUCACGAUAUUUUCAACUCAUGAU